This 543-nucleotide long non-coding RNA is filed under the name Neodiprion pinetum (white pine sawfly). Its description in RNAcentral is "uncharacterized LOC124215659, transcript variant X1". Lineage: Eukaryota; Metazoa; Arthropoda; Insecta; Hymenoptera; Diprionidae. The record is from RNAcentral.
ACCUAGCACGUAAGGAUCAUCCGUGGGAUAUUUAUUUAUAAAUCGCAUUGAGCUUUGCUGCAGGCCUUUAUUACGUUAAAAUUAUUAAUUAUUUCCCGCAUGCAACGGUGUUACGCGAAUAGUCGAUUAGACCUAGCCGGGUUAUACAAUAUAUCUAAUCAAACGUCCAACUGGUGCGAUACGAAUAGACACGCACAACACACGCGUUGCUGGAGGAUACAGUGAGCGGUUCACCGGUGACAAAAGUGCGUUAUUUGAUAUCGAUCUGGGAAUGUCAGUGACGAGAUAUCAUCGUUGUUAAUUUGAAAUAAUGAAGGAUUUACCGUCAGUGAUAAUCGAUUUGUUUAUUAUAUGGAAUGUAGUAACUGCAGGGACGAUUACACACGCUCAGGAAAAUCUAAACUACUAUUAUAAUCAACCACCUGGUGGCUACAGAUUUCAAGAAUCCCGAUACUUGACACCGGUCAGACGAUGGGCACCAGACUCUCCGGGCUGGGACGGCGGACCGAGGAGGGGAGUAAUCCUGCGAAGAGACACGCAGGA